This 2870-nucleotide ribosomal RNA is filed under the name Enterobacter cloacae. RNAcentral describes it as "bacterial LSU rRNA". It matches the Rfam family "Bacterial large subunit ribosomal RNA". The record is from RNAcentral. Lineage: Bacteria; Pseudomonadati; Pseudomonadota; Gammaproteobacteria; Enterobacterales; Enterobacteriaceae.
UGAAAAUUGAAACGACACACAGCUCAUGUGUGUUCGAGUCUCUCAAAUUUUCGCAAGUCGAUGNUUGACCCGGCGAUGUCCGAAUGGGGAAACCCAGUGCAAUCCGUUGCACUAUCGUUAACUGAAUACAUAGGUUAACGAGGCGAACCGGGGGAACUGAAACAUCUAAGUACCCCGAGGAAAAGAAAUCAACCGAGAUUCCCCCAGUAGCGGCGAGCGAACGGGGAGCAGCCCGGAGUCUGAAUCAGCUUGUGUGUUAGUGGAACGGUCUGGAAAGUCCGACGGUACAGGGUGAUAGUCCCGUACACGAAAGCACACUUGCUGUGAACUCGAAGAGUAGGGCGGGACACGUGGUAUCCUGUCUGAAUAUGGGGGGACCAUCCUCCAAGGCUAAAUACUCCUGACUGACCGAUAGUGAACCAGUACCGUGAGGGAAAGGCGAAAAGAACCCCGGCGAGGGGAGUGAAAAAGAACCUGAAACCGUGUACGUACAAGCAGUGGGAGCCUCUUUAUGGGGUGACUGCGUACCUUUUGUAUAAUGGGUCAGCGACUUAUAUUCUGUAGCAAGGUUAACCGUAUAGGGGAGCCGAAGGGAAACCGAGUCUUAACUGGGCGUUAAGUUGCAGGGUAUAGACCCGAAACCCGGUGAUCUAGCCAUGGGCAGGUUGAAGGUUGGGUAACACUAACUGGAGGACCGAACCGACUAAUGUUGAAAAAUUAGCGGAUGACCUGUGGCUGGGGGUGAAAGGCCAAUCAAACCGGGAGAUAGCUGGUUCUCCCCGAAAGCUAUUUAGGUAGCGCCUCGUGAACUCAUCUUCGGGGGUAGAGCACUGUUUCGGCUAGGGGGCCAUCCCGGCUUACCAACCCGAUGCAAACUACGAAUACCGAAGAAUGUUAUCACGGGAGACACACGGCGGGUGCUAACGUCCGUCGUGAAGAGGGAAACAACCCAGACCGCCAGCUAAGGUCCCAAAGUCAUGGUUAAGUGGGAAACGAUGUGGGAAGGCACAGACAGCCAGGAUGUUGGCUUAGAAGCAGCCAUCAUUUAAAGAAAGCGUAAUAGCUCACUGGUCGAGUCGGCCUGCGCGGAAGAUGUAACGGGGCUAAACCAUGCACCGAAGCUGCGGCAGCGACGCUUAUGCGUUGUUGGGUAGGGGAGCGUUCUGUAAGCCGUUGAAGGUGUGCUGUGAGGCAUGCUGGAGGUAUCAGAAGUGCGAAUGCUGACAUAAGUAACGAUAAAGCGGGUGAAAAGCCCGCUCGCCGGAAGACCAAGGGUUCCUGUCCAACGUUAAUCGGGGCAGGGUGAGUCGACCCCUAAGGCGAGGCCGAAAGGCGUAGUCGAUGGGAAACAGGUUAAUAUUCCUGUACUUGGUGUUACUGCGAAGGGGGGACGGAGAAGGCUAUGUCAGCCGGGCGACGGUUGUCCCGGUUUAAGCAUGUAGGCGGAGGUUCCAGGUAAAUCCGGUACCUUAUUAACGCUGAGGUGUGAUGACGAGGCACUACGGUGCUGAAGUGAUAAAUGCCCUGCUUCCAGGAAAAGCCUCUAAGCAUCAGGUAACACGAAAUCGUACCCCAAACCGACACAGGUGGUCAGGUAGAGAAUACCAAGGCGCUUGAGAGAACUCGGGUGAAGGAACUAGGCAAAAUGGUGCCGUAACUUCGGGAGAAGGCACGCUGAUGUGUAGGUGAAGCCCCUGCGGGUGGAGCUGAAAUCAGUCGAAGAUACCAGCUGGCUGCAACUGUUUAUUAAAAACACAGCACUGUGCAAACACGAAAGUGGACGUAUACGGUGUGACGCCUGCCCGGUGCCGGAAGGUUAAUUGAUGGGGUUAGCGGCAACGCGAAGCUCUUGAUCGAAGCCCCGGUAAACGGCGGCCGUAACUAUAACGGUCCUAAGGUAGCGAAAUUCCUUGUCGGGUAAGUUCCGACCUGCACGAAUGGCGUAAUGAUGGCCAGGCUGUCUCCACCCGAGACUCAGUGAAAUUGAACUCGCUGUGAAGAUGCAGUGUACCCGCGGCAAGACGGAAAGACCCCGUGAACCUUUACUAUAGCUUGACACUGAACACUGGUCCUUGAUGUGUAGGAUAGGUGGGAGGCUUUGAAGCGUGGACGCCAGUCUGCGUGGAGCCAACCUUGAAAUACCACCCUUUAAUGGCUGGUGUUCUAACGUAGACCCGUAAUCCGGGUUGCGGACAGUGUCUGGUGGGUAGUUUGACUGGGGCGGUCUCCUCCCAAAGAGUAACGGAGGAGCACGAAGGUUGGCUAAUCCUGGUCGGACAUCAGGAGGUUAGUGCAAUGGCAUAAGCCAGCUUGACUGCGAGCGUGACGGCGCGAGCAGGUGCGAAAGCAGGUCAUAGUGAUCCGGUGGUUCUGAAUGGAAGGGCCAUCGCUCAACGGAUAAAAGGUACUCCGGGGAUAACAGGCUGAUACCGCCCAAGAGUUCAUAUCGACGGCGGUGUUUGGCACCUCGAUGUCGGCUCAUCACAUCCUGGGGCUGAAGUAGGUCCCAAGGGUAUGGCUGUUCGCCAUUUAAAGUGGUACGCGAGCUGGGUUUAGAACGUCGUGAGACAGUUCGGUCCCUAUCUGCCGUGGGCGCUGGAGAAUUGAGGGGGGCUGCUCCUAGUACGAGAGGACCGGAGUGGACGCAUCACUGGUGUUCGGGUUGUCAUGCCAAUGGCACUGCCCGGUAGCUAAAUGCGGAAGAGAUAAGUGCUGAAAGCAUCUAAGCACGAAACUUGCCCCGAGAUGAGUUCUCCCUGAGACUUUAAGUCUCCUGAAGGAACGUUGAAGACGACGACGUUGAUAGGUCGGGUGUGUAAGCGCAGCGAUGCGUUGAGCUAACCGAUACUAAUGAACCGUGAGGCUUAACC